Molecule: transfer RNA, 63 nt
Filed under: Nobia grandis
Lineage: Eukaryota; Metazoa; Arthropoda; Thecostraca; Balanomorpha; Pyrgomatidae
Description: tRNA-Pro
Source: RNAcentral
CAGAGAGUAGUUUAAUAAAAAUUUAGGUUUUGGAAAUCUGAGAUGCUUUUCAAGUCUUUCUGA